RNAcentral lists this ribosomal RNA (253 nucleotides) under uncultured bacterium. RNAcentral's name for it is "partial 16S ribosomal RNA". It matches the Rfam family "Bacterial small subunit ribosomal RNA", at positions 524 to 776 of the family's 1533-position model. The record is from RNAcentral.
UACGUAGGGUGCAAGCGUUAAUCGGAUUUACUGGGCGUAAAGGGUGCGAAGGCGGUUUUGUAAGUCUGAUGUGAAAUCCCCGGGCUCAACCUGGGAAUUGCAUUGGAGACUGCAAGGCUAGAAUCUGGCAGAGGGGGGUAGAAUUCCACGUGUAGCAGUGAAAUGCGUAGAGAUGUGGAGGAACACCGAUGGCGAAGGCAGCCCCCUGGGUCAAGAUUGACGCUCAUGCACGAAAGCGUGGGGAGCAAACAGG